RNAcentral lists this ribosomal RNA (253 nucleotides) under uncultured bacterium. RNAcentral's name for it is "partial 16S ribosomal RNA". It matches the Rfam family "Bacterial small subunit ribosomal RNA", at positions 524 to 776 of the family's 1533-position model. The record is from RNAcentral.
UACGUAGGGGGCAAGCGUUGUCCGGAAUCAUUGGGCGUAAAGAGCGCGUAGGCGGUCCGAUAAGUCCGCUGUGAAAGUCAAGGGCUCAACCCUUGAAUGCCGGUGGAUACUGUCGGGCUAGAGUCCGGAAGAGGCGAGUGGAAUUCCUGGUGUAGCGGUGAAAUGCGCAGAUAUCAGGAGGAACACCGAUGGCGAAGGCAGCUCGCUGGGACGGUACUGACGCUGAGACGCGAAAGCGUGGGGAGCAAACAGG